GUAUGAUCCCUGUUGCCCCAGUUCUGGUCCCGCUGGCUCCAGUCCAGGUCUCCGUUAAUCCCAGUGUCCCCCCUGUCCUCCCACCCCACUCUCACCCCCUUUUCUCUCCCCACAGAGCUCCUGAGCCGCCGGCGGCCGCAGCCCCUCCCCGUGGCCUCGGGCCCAGCCGGGACCCCCCAGUCCAUCCCAACACUCAGUUUGGGAGUUUGUUUGUCCUCCUCAGCCCUGUUUUUAUUCUGACCCCAGCCGGCUGCUCCCAGUGUUCCCAGGAAAGCUUCCCAGUUCUCCCCAGUCCUUUUGUUCUCGGCCUGCUCAUCUGGCUGUUUGCUGGUUCCCGUUUGCCUUCGUUUCCUGUGCCCUGUUCUGCCCCCAGCCCGGACCUGCUUGGACUUCACGGGAGAGGUUUGACCCCCCUCCAGAGGAACCUUUUGGGGAGGAGGUCGCCCUUUCCCUCCUCCGCUCCCGUGUUGGCAGUGGCGUGUGUUCAUCGGCCAAAAGGGGGAAUUCCCGGCCACAGCCAGCCACAGACAGCGGGAGUUUCGUGGGAAGAGCCCCUUUUUCUCCUUUUCCACUUUUUCCCCUUUUUGUUCUUCUGCCAAUACACAGAUAUCCUUUAAUAAAGAGCUGUUAUUUUUCCUUUUUCCAUA
Molecule: long non-coding RNA, 647 nt
Organism: Pseudopipra pipra
Lineage: Eukaryota; Metazoa; Chordata; Aves; Passeriformes; Pipridae
Exons: 2
Source: RefSeq, a predicted model, not a curated record